This 474-nucleotide ribosomal RNA is filed under the name Dosinia nedigna. Its description in RNAcentral is "partial 16S ribosomal RNA". It matches the Rfam family "Bacterial large subunit ribosomal RNA", at positions 1817 to 2600 of the family's 2925-position model. Lineage: Eukaryota; Metazoa; Mollusca; Bivalvia; Venerida; Veneridae. The record is from RNAcentral.
GGCUCUUUGUAUGAAAAAAAUGAGGAGUCGGGCCUGCCCGGUGAUUAAUUUAACGGCUGCAACGAGAGUUGUACUAAGGUAGCGCGAUAGCUUGUCCCUUAAUUAGGGAAUGGUAUGAAUGGUCUGACGUGGAAAAACUGUCUUUUAAAAGUUUAAUGAAGUUUCCUUUUAAGUGAAAAGGCUUAAAUUUUUGUAAAAGACGAGAAGACCCUGUUGAGUUGAAUUAGGGCUUAUUAAUAAUUUAUAGUUUGAAUUUUUGUUGGGGCAACACGAUUUAUGUCAUGUAGCGGGUUGUACAAAGAAUUGAGAUCCUUUUGGAAAGAAAUAAGCAACAGCUACCACAGGGAUAACAGCGUUAUCCUUUCUAAGAGAUCGUAUUGAGGAAGGGGUUUGCGACCUCGAUGUUGGAUUAGAAAAACUUUAUGGUGCAGGGGCUAUAAAAUGUAAUUUUUGUUCGUCUUUUAAAUUUCUACA